This 329-nucleotide ribosomal RNA is filed under the name uncultured eukaryote. RNAcentral describes it as "partial 18S ribosomal RNA". It matches the Rfam family "Eukaryotic small subunit ribosomal RNA", at positions 1470 to 1796 of the family's 1831-position model. The record is from RNAcentral.
CCCUUAGAUGUUCUGGGCCGCACGCGCGCUACACUGAUGCAUUCAACGAGUCUAAAACCUGCUCUGAUAGGGGUGGGUAAUCUUUUGAAUGUGCAUCGUGAUUGGGAUAGAUGAUUGAAAUUUUUCAUCUUCAACGAGGAAUGCCUAGUAAACGCAAGUCAUCAGCUUGCAUUGAUUACGUCCCUGCCCUUUGUACACACCGCCCGUCGCUCCUACCGAUUGAAUGAUCCGAUGAAUAUCAUGGAUUGAGGAUGCAAGUAGGUUCACCUAUCUUCAUCUUCGAGAAGUGAAGUAAAUCUUAUCAUUUAGAGGAAGGAGAAGGCGUAACA